Athene cunicularia (burrowing owl) is the source of this 273-nucleotide long non-coding RNA. RefSeq lists it as uncharacterized. The transcript has 2 exons. The record is from RefSeq and is a predicted model, not a curated record. Lineage: Eukaryota; Metazoa; Chordata; Aves; Strigiformes; Strigidae.
CCUUCCCUGGGGAUGCUGUUGACUGGACCCACUUCAGAACUGUGUGGGGUGUCUCUGCCUGGCCUUAUGCUCCUCGCAGCAGAGAGGUGAAAAGGGACAGGCCCUUGGGACAUUUUCUGGCUGUGGACAGGAGCUGCCACAGCUGAAGCUGGAGAGGCCUGAGAAAGGGAAAGAAGAAAAUCAAGGGCAUGUGGGCAGCAGCUGCUUUCCACUGCAGGAAGAGAGAGCCUGUCUCUCUGGGUGGAGGACAGCCGAGCGACUGCAGCUCCAGAA